This 253-nucleotide ribosomal RNA is filed under the name uncultured bacterium. Its description in RNAcentral is "partial 16S ribosomal RNA". It matches the Rfam family "Bacterial small subunit ribosomal RNA", at positions 524 to 776 of the family's 1533-position model. The record is from RNAcentral.
UACGUAGGUGACAAGCGUUGUCCGGAUUUACUGGGCGUAAAGAGCGCGCAGGCGGUCGUUCAAGUCGAGUGUGAAAGCCCCCGGCUCAACUGGGGAGGGUCACUCGAUACUGAUCGACUCGAAGGCAGGAGAGGGAAGUGGAAUUCCCGGUGUAGUGGUGAAAUGCGUAGAUAUCAGGAGGAACACCGGUGGCGAAGGCGGUUCUCUGGGCAUUACCUGACGCUGAGGAGCGAAAGCGUGGGGAGCAAACAGG